Molecule: long non-coding RNA, 5140 nt
Organism: Equus caballus (horse)
Lineage: Eukaryota; Metazoa; Chordata; Mammalia; Perissodactyla; Equidae
Source: Ensembl
AGGCCAGGAGCCCCAGGCCCAGAAAGAAUGGGGUCUGAGUUAGGGGGACAGGAAGCUGGGUUGGCAGGGGGACCUCUGGGCAGGUUCAGGAUGUGGGUGGACCAAGCCCGCUGCCACCUCUGCCCCCAUGGACACAGAGACCCCAGCUCCCGAGAACCAAGACCCCAGAGGACAAAAGAUGUUGCGGGGGGUGUUCCUGUGCAGGGGGAAAUCGUCAAGGGCCUGCGCUGAGGCUGUGCUGCCCAGACGCUGGACGGCAGCCCCCAGGGCGCAUGAGAACAGGACUCACGACUUCCACACGACGUUCACAGACAUUCCACAGAACCACGGUCAGGUGAGCGUGCACAGCCCUCGUCCAGCAAAGCUGAGCUGGCUUGUUUGCUGCAGGCUUUCUCUGAGCCACUCACGCGUGCUCUGAGCUCUGUGUGUGACCACGCGCACCGAGGAACCCUUAUUUGAGGGGUCCCAGUUACGCGCACACACACUGGGAAGUGCUGGGUGCUGUGAACAGUGAGCGUCAGGCUGCUGCUGGGUGUGGGCCUGGCGGGGCAGGAGGAGGGUCCACCCGUGUCGCACCUCCUCCCCUUGUCCCCACAAACUGAACAGUCCCCUCAAAUAGAUAACGAACUCCUACAGAUCAGUCAGAAUAAUAGGCAUAGAUUUGAGCAAACCUCCACAAAAGGAGCCCUCCACAUGGCCAGUGAACAUAUGAGAGUCGUUCAGGCUUUGCUGUGACACCACUGCUCACCCCCAAAGUGGCUACAAUUAAAGAGACCAACAGACGGAGUGUUGGUGAGGACGUGGAGCACCAGAAGCUCUUGCACGCAGGCAGUGGGUCUUCGAACUGCUCACCGGGCCCUGAGGAGCCGCUGGCACUUCCUAUGAACGUUGGGCACAAGCGAACCCUGUGCACGGUCUUCACCUCUCUCCUGCCCCCCGUCAGUCCGUUCAGGCAGCUCUGCUCGGAAUACCCAGACGGGGGCUUGCACUGCAACCAGGGAUUUCUCCAAGUCCUGGAGGCUGGAGGCCGCAGUCAAGGCACCGGCAGACUCGGCGCCUGGUGAGGACACUCUUCCUGGUCCGUAGAUGGCAUCUUCUCGCUGUGUCCUCACAUGGCAGAAGGGGACAGGGAAAGGAGGCUAAUCCUAUUCAUGACGGCUCCACCUGCGUGACCCAAGCCCCGCUCCUAACAGCAUCACAUGGAGGGCUAGGUCUCAACAGGUGGGGGACACGACAGUCCGUCUAUGGCACCCACCUAGUAGGACAUUGGGUCCCUCUGCCUUCUCUGCCCCGCAGUCCCAAUUUACCUCCGCCCCUGCCUGGGCCGCAGGCCUCUGAUAAAAGUUUGCCAAAGCAGGUAGAGUAGCGGCUCCUCCUUCCUAAAUGUGCAUUAUCUCGGCCGUUGGAACGAAGCACCAGGAAAUGAACUGAGGUCUCAGUCUGCGCUGGGAGGAAGAGGGAGAAUGGAGAUAGUCGUGUCUUCCUUCCGAUGAACUCUGUGGUUUUCUGAGCACUUUUGCCAACAGAACUUCACUGGCUCUCACCGCACCUUAGCGAGGUGAGCAGGACCUUCAUUCCCUGCCCAGCUCACACUGCUGACAACAGGUGAGACCAAGGGAGGAGCAGGCCACCCCGGGUGCAUGUGGCUGCGCGUACCGAGCUUAAACGGGAGGGGAUGUCACGUCCCCAGUGGAGGUCCAGAAACAGGCAGGUUCAAACGCUUCACGACGUCAUCAAAGACCCGCAUUCUUUUCACAUCUCUGCCCUGCCAGGGUCUCCUGUGGGUCUGUGGUCAGAGGCACUGAUGGCUUUGGGUCGGCCCAUCUGUCCAAGGAUGCCCGGUUAGCAAGCAGCCCUGGUAGAGAGAAUGCCGAGGGCAGAGCUGUCUGUUUUCUGGGGUGAAGUUCGGGCAAGUCUGCUUGCAACUCAUCAUAAGAUUCGGAAUCCUGCCUCAAACGCCUGCAGGCACGGCCUCCACCUGGACCAGCCACGGGCCUUGGGGGAAGAGGGAAGCCCACACACCGGGAAGCUCGAGCUUUUGGCCAGGCCAGGAGUAACGCCAUUCUUUGCCUCUGGUCCAGGAGCCUCGUGUCUUCCGCCAGCAUCUUCAAAACCGGGGCAGGCCAACUCACUAGCCUCAGACUCCUCGCCUGGCUGGUGCAAGACGGCUCAGUGACACAGGCACCACCCCAGACAGGGUAACUAACAGGGGAAGGUGGUCAGUCCUGGGGGCCUCCCUUACAAGCCAGAAUAAUGUUUCCUGGAAGUCUCCCUCGUGUUGGGCCACGUGCCCAGCUGAUAGGUAAGUGGGGGAAGGACUGGGUGGGCAGACGCCAGCGUGCACCGUCCACCACAGGAGGGCUGGCGAAGCCACGGACCAGGGCAGCAGCUCACAGCCAGUCCUCAUCCAGAAAGCUAAUGUGAACCGAGCACUUUCUGUGCAUCUCGCUCCCAAAACACAGCCCUCGCUCUGGAUGAAGCUAGAAGCAGCUCACGGAAGGGGACCAAGCUGGCCAGUGGCAGCACUGGGGCCGAACCAGAGGUCAGCCAUCCUCUACACCGUGUUCCUGCUUUGAGGUGACAAAAGGCCACAGUGUCUUAAACCAGGGGGCUGCCAUCACCCUGGGGACAGGAAAGGCCUGGCUGGCAGGCGCUAGCACUGCAGGGCCCCGUGUGUUCAGACGUGGAGGCCUCACAUGGCGCUCCGGGGAAGAAGGCCUGGCAGUGUGUGUCAGCCACGAUUCACGCCUCCUGCCUGCCACGGAGGCUCCAGCUGGGGGCCUGGCAACUCAGCCUGACCUCCACUCCCUGCCAUCGUCUUUCCAGCUGUCAUCACCUGUGGCCCCAGGGUCUUCUUGGGGACCAGAUAAGCAGGCCACAGCCCUCCCCAGUGGCCCCCUCACCGGGACAUCCCCUGCACCACCCUGGGUGUCCUUGUCAGCUGGGAGAAGACAGCUGCCCUGGCACUGGGACAGGCUCUGGACCCCCAGCCCGUCCCAGAGCCCACUGAGCUCCCUAUCUACCAACAGCCCAUAGAGGAAGGAGCAGAACGGGGAGGGGGACGUGACGCUCACAUGGCCCAGACCAGGAGAUGCCCGUCCAUCUGGGUGCCCACCUGGAACCUGGUGGUGGCCUCACCUGCAGAUACACCUGGGGAGGCGGGCUCUGACCUAUCAGUCAAUGGCCACCUGCCCCACUGCCGGUUGGUGUAAACGCCUCCCACAACAUGGGAUGAUUGACAUGCUCUGGGUCCAGUGAGCAUCAGAUUCGUUCCCAGAGUCACUGUGCCUGUGCGGGAGCUGCCUUCACAGCCAGACUGUGGUGGGUGGAGAAGGGAGGCCCAGGGCAGGUGGCCAUGCGGCCGGUGCGCCUGCCUCAGGGAUGGGCUACCCUGUCUAGCAUGACACUCCCAUUAGGGCGAGCUGCUUUGGGGUGGAGGAAGGCAGGAUGCAGGUGUCUGCAAGAGUAGUUAAUGGGAACACAGCAGCCCUGCUCCUGGAGCAGGUUGUCAGGUCAGGAGGGGGGCCGGCGAAUGCCACCCCCAGCCCGUUCUGACCCAGAGACGCCGUGGCCAUCUGGAGACCUGGGGCCCAGCCCCAUGUGUUAGCCCCUGCAGAGUGGUGGGCAGGCCUGGGCAGCCUUCCACACUGGCUCCUGGUGAAGUCCCAUGGAGGCUGGCUUGCCCUCCGUGUCCUGGCCUUCUACUGGACACAAGGUGGCAAGCCCCAGAAGCCUGCUGAACACAGUGACGUGCCCGCCCACCUGCUGCUCUGGCCUCCCACCUCCUUCCAUCCUCAAAGGCCAGAGCCUCAGAAGCCUCUGGAAGAACGGGGGCUCUGUGCACUCGGGGCCGCACAGGUGGGCCCGCAUGCCCGCCUGCCCUCUGCAGUCUCUCCUCCCUAGUGCAAGCCUUUUAAAUCGUGUCCUGUACCCUCCUCUCAAAAUGCUACGGGCCUCCUCAUUGGCCUGAAGGAAAGUCCGGUCCCCACCAGGGCCCGCACAUCCGUGCCUGCCUGCGGUGGGCGUCUCUGCUUCCACCAGUGUGGACUCUGCCCUCCCGCCUGCGAUGGGCCAGCGAGACACGGCCAGCUUUCGGGGAACUCGGAGGGGAAGCAACUGUGUCCCCUCCUGUGUGUGGCUCUCCCUCCAUCCCUCCCCAGUGGCCAUUUAGAAGGUUCUGGCUUCCAGAUGGCACAGCUACCCUUCCCCCGGGAGCCCUCCCCCGUCAGCCCCGUCCCUCCUCUGGUCUCUUCUAGGAGAGGAAACAGAACCCAUCUAGGUCUUCGUGGUAAAGACGUGCUGCGUUGACCAAGCCCGGUCCUCACCCUCGGGCAGGCAGGAAGGACCGGUUUCAAUACCUCGUCACCACUGGGGGCUCGGCCGAGCUCUGGAUGUGGGAUGGGGUGGGAAGCAUGCAGGCAGCAUCCGGGCCUGGCCCCUAAAGCCUUGCACUGGAGACACUCAUGUUUUGUGGGUUUGCUCAAUGUCAGGGCCUGUCCACCUUCUGUGCAAGCAGUUGGUGGGAUCGCGUCCUCACCCGGGAGCUGAGCAGGGAGCCCAGAAUCGACGUUGCUUUUCAGCCUGUGGAGGGAAUGCAGGUGGAGGCUGAGAGAGCAGACAGAGAACACUGGCCCGUCCGCCCCGCGCUGCUCCAUAGCCACACACAGCCACACACGCCCUCCUGCUCAGACUCCAGCUUCCAAACGUCAGCGGCCAGCACGCUCCCAGGAACACGGAGCAGGCUUCCCGUGAGCCAGUGAGAAGAGGCGCCCUCUCCCCACAGCGAGACUGCAGCCGUGCUCUGCUGAACGGACGGGUGAAGAGACGACAUCUAACGAGUUUGAAAUCCACAUGCCCUUCGAUCCCCCGGCCCCACUUUCAGGAGUUCAGGGUGUGCUGCCCAGUGGCGCCCGGCAUCAUCUGUGGUGGCGGAGGGCUGAGAACCCCGAUGCCCAUCACUGAGGACGGGCUGUGGCUCAAACAUGACAAAUGCUGGGUGUCCGAGAGAACUGCAGAAACAGGACCUGGCCUGACAGAAUCCAGCGUGUCACACAGGGGCCGUGCGGUUCUCAGUGCUGGCUGGGGGUUGAAGUACCCAGAUGUUAACAACACAGAGUAACCCCUGCCCCAAACGUCUCCG